This 508-nucleotide ribosomal RNA is filed under the name uncultured organism. RNAcentral's name for it is "SSU rRNA". It matches the Rfam family "Bacterial small subunit ribosomal RNA", at positions 10 to 509 of the family's 1533-position model. The record is from RNAcentral.
AGUUUGAUCCUGGCUCAGGAUGAACGCUAGCUACAGGCUUAACACAUGCAAGUCGAGGGGCAGCAUGAUCAAAGCUUGCUUUGGUUGAUGGCGACCGGCGCACGGGUGAGUAACGCGUAUCCAACUUCCCUUAGUAGGGCAUAGCCCGUAGAAAUGCGGAUUAAUACCCUAUGUUGUUCGUAGAGGACAUCUGAAAUGAACCAAAGGUUUACCGCUAAGGGAUGGGGAUGCGUCUGAUUAGGUAGUCGGCGGGGUAACGGCCCACCGAGCCCUCGAUCAGUAGGGGUUCUGAGAGGAAGGUCCCCCACAUUGGAACUGAGACACGGUCCAAACUCCUACGGGAGGCAGCAGUGAGGAAUAUUGGUCAAUGGGCGCGAGCCUGAACCAGCCAAGUAGCGUGCAGGAUGACGGCCCUAUGGGUUGUAAACUGCUUUUAUACAGGGAUAAAGUCCACUACGCGUAGUGGUUUGCAGGUACCGCAUGAAUAAGGACCGGCUAAUUCCGUGCC